Dreissena polymorpha is the source of this 616-nucleotide long non-coding RNA. RefSeq lists it as uncharacterized. Lineage: Eukaryota; Metazoa; Mollusca; Bivalvia; Myida; Dreissenidae. The record is from RefSeq and is a predicted model, not a curated record. The transcript has 3 exons.
UAUGUUAUUUUAGAAGAUAAUUGCCUCGUGCUUUUAUAUCUAUCGCCAUGGCUGACAUGAACCUGUUCCAAAGGACUGUGCCAGGGGAAUUUGAAGUGUGUGUGCUGCAAGACAGCCUAGUUCACUCCGAAGCCAAGCUGUCCAUAGAAUGCUAUGAGACCGACGAAACUCAUGAUAUAGCCCUGAAAAAAAUUGAUUCAGAUACAAUAAAACUUGCAAUUCCAUACUGCAUACCCGAAAAAUUCACAAUAUCUGAACUUGAAAAACGAAUUAUUAAGUGUUAAGAAACAAUUGUUGCAACCAAGACAAGAACAGUUGCUGUAAAUAUCGACGCGGUAAAAACCUGGAAUAACACAGGAUUUGUGUAUAUAUUGUUGAAAUGCUUUCACGAAUAUGCACACACCAACCCGAAGUAGGCCUACUUAAGAGUCACUGUGUGUAGUACUCAACAGCAAGUAUGUGAAAGUGCCAAGAAAGCAUGUGCAGAAUUAUUGAGCAUGUUGAACGAUAACGCAUCAGAAGACGCAGAACAGGCUUUAUAUUCUGCCAAUGAUUUCGAUCCCAGCAAGAACCACAACAUAGGUGGUAUAAAAGAUUCAAGAGGCAAUACAAAUGU